Polyodon spathula (Mississippi paddlefish) is the source of this 1185-nucleotide long non-coding RNA. RefSeq lists it as uncharacterized. The transcript has 3 exons. Lineage: Eukaryota; Metazoa; Chordata; Actinopteri; Acipenseriformes; Polyodontidae. The record is from RefSeq and is a predicted model, not a curated record.
UGCAGACAGCAGCCACCAGCAAGUGUGCUUCCAACAAGCUCCCUGGGGCUGUAAUGAUCCAUGCAGUGGGGAAACACUCCCAGUGAGACUUUCAAAAGCACAGACCCUGAAGAGACAGCUCCAAGCUUUGCAGACAGAUUCAGCAAAGUCACCCAGCGCUGCCUCAGAGCAACUGGCAGCAAGGUCAUAAACAAGUGGAACAGGCACAAUUCUUCCAGGAGCUCAACAGUGGAUGGAGGACAAAGGCCAGCCCUGAAGGUGUACUCUUUGAGCUCACUAGGCUCCUGACCAAUAGGGGCCUCUGUAACACAAUGAGGAGAAACAGUCCCUGAUUCUUUUGCCUCCCUAACCGUUGGAGCGCCAGAGCCAAUGUGACACACCCUGUGGCAUCCCAAGAUAGGAACCUUGGCACAUCCAGGAUGCGAACCUGCACUCCCCAGCCUGCCUGACUCACCCUGCGCACCGCACGGUUUUGCCUUACCAGGGGAGACUUUACAAAAUUGUAUGCACUCCUCAAAAACAAAUGCAGUAUUUCUUCCAUCCUCUAGGGGCAGAGUGUUGCAGGGGUAUUCGACACACAACUUCGUUUUGACCACUCAAUCUUUACAGUCCUCCCUGUUCUAUUUUGACACCAGCUGCUGUACUCUGCGUACAAUAAAACAAAACAGCACCUUCAAUUCUUCCGAUGCAUGCCGGCUACGCUGCGUUGAAAACAGUCACAGAUCCGAGACCUCUCUGCAUAGUUAGCUACUGAGAACUCUUGCUAGCUAGCUGAGCAACACUCUGGGGAAAUCUCUGUGGCAUCAUCAAGUAAAAAAAUAUGAUUAUACUUCUUAAAUGCAUUCUUUAAAUGCCACAGUUACUUUAAUGGCUGUACACUUAACAACAAUAUUCAAAAUAAUGUCUACAAAUGAAUAGAAACGCAACUAAGCAAGUAACUUACAAAGUUAUUUAAAGUCAGAAAAAAUGAACUGAAACACAUUUAAGCAAGUUUUUUUUUAUUUUAGUUAUUCAAAAGUCCUUUUUAAAAAGCUGAAACGAAAACAAAAGAAUUAUGAAUAUUUUUACUAAGUGUGUAGGAACUAUUUUCUGUUGCAGAAGGUUAUACUUCAAAUUUGUUAAUAAACAUUCAGAAACUGUAUCGAUUUCUCUUUUUUGUGUUUAUAGAAGCGGGUAAAUUUGUUU